UGACCUCGGGGCCCACGGUAUGGGCUG
RNAcentral lists this small RNA (27 nucleotides) under Bombyx mori (domestic silkworm). Its description in RNAcentral is "ovarian small RNA-8100". The record is from RNAcentral. Lineage: Eukaryota; Metazoa; Arthropoda; Insecta; Lepidoptera; Bombycidae.